UUAGAGAAUCUGCCCUGUACUGGGGGACAACAGAGGGAAACUUCUGCUAAUACCCCAUAUGAGCGUACCUGCGAUGGUAUUCUUGAAAGUUCCGGCGGUACAGGAUGAGUCUGCAUCUGAUUAGCUAGUUGGUGGUGUAAUGGACUACCAAGGCGACGAUCAGUAGCUGGUUUGAGAGGAUGAUCAGCCACAAUGGGACUGAGACGCGGCCCAUACUCCUACGGGAGGCAGCAG
This 234-nucleotide ribosomal RNA is filed under the name uncultured bacterium. Its description in RNAcentral is "partial 16S ribosomal RNA". It matches the Rfam family "Bacterial small subunit ribosomal RNA", at positions 117 to 354 of the family's 1533-position model. The record is from RNAcentral.